RNAcentral lists this ribosomal RNA (253 nucleotides) under uncultured bacterium. RNAcentral describes it as "partial 16S ribosomal RNA". It matches the Rfam family "Bacterial small subunit ribosomal RNA", at positions 524 to 776 of the family's 1533-position model. The record is from RNAcentral.
UACGAACUGUGCAAACGUUAUUCGGAAUCACUGGGCUUAAAGGGUGCGUAGGCGGCUUGUUAAGUAGGGUGUGAAAUCCCCCGGCUCAACCGGGGAAUUGCGCCCUAAACUGGCGAGCUGGAGUGAGAUAGGGGUGUGUGGAACUUCCAGUGGAGCGGUGAAAUGUGUUGAUAUUGGAAGGAACGCCAGUGGCGCAAGCGACACACUGGGUCUCAACUGACGCUGAGGCACGAAAGCCAGGGGAGCAAACGGG